RNAcentral lists this ribosomal RNA (484 nucleotides) under uncultured bacterium. Its description in RNAcentral is "partial 16S ribosomal RNA". It matches the Rfam family "Bacterial small subunit ribosomal RNA", at positions 28 to 523 of the family's 1533-position model. The record is from RNAcentral.
GACGAACGCUGGCGGCGUGCUUAACACAUGCAAGUCGAACGAUGAAGCUGGAGCUUGCUCCGGUGGAUUAGUGGCGAACGGGUGAGUAACACGUGAGCAAUCUGCCCUUGACUCUGGGAUAACUGCGGGAAACUGUAGCUAAUACCGGAUACUUUCACUGGAAGGCAUCUUCUGGUGAAGAAAGAAUUUCGGUCAAGGAUGAGCUCGCGGCCUGUCAGCUAGUUGGUGAGGUAACGGCUCACCAAGGCGACGACGGGUAGCCGGCCUGAGAGGGUGACCGGCCACACUGGGACUGGGACACGGCCCAGACUCCUACGGGAGGCAGCAGUGGGGAAUAUUGCACAAUGGGCGCAAGCCUGAUGCAGCAACGCCGCGUGAGGGAUGACGGCCUUCGGGUUGUAAACCUCUUUUAGUAGGGAAGAAGCGAAAGUGACGGUACCUGCAGAAAAAGCACCGGCUAACUACGUGCCGGCCGCCGCUGUAA